Molecule: ribosomal RNA, 435 nt
Filed under: uncultured bacterium
Lineage: Bacteria
Description: bacterial SSU rRNA
Rfam family: Bacterial small subunit ribosomal RNA
Source: RNAcentral
GCUAAACGCGAAGAACCUUACCCACCUUUGACAUGGUCGGAAUCCUGCAGAGACGCAGGAGUGCUCGCAAGAGAGCCGUAACACAGGUGCUGCAUGGCUGUCGUCAGCUCGUGUCGUGAGAUGUUGGGUUAAGUCCCGCAACGAGCGCAACCCUUGCCAUUAGUUGCUACGAAAGGGCACUCUAAUGGGACUGCCGGUGACAAACCGGAGGAAGGUGGGGAUGACGUCAAGUCCUCAUGGCCCUUAUAGGUGGGGCUACACACGUCAUACAAUGGCUGGUACAGAGGGUUGCCAACCCGCGAGGGGGGAGCCAAUCCCACAAAGCCAGUCGUAGUCCGGAUCGCAGUCUGCAACUCGACUGCGUGAAGUCGGAAUCGCUAGUAAUCGUGGAUCAGAAUGUCACGGUGAAUACGUUCCCGGGUCUUGUACACACCG